Molecule: ribosomal RNA, 465 nt
Filed under: Vreelandella stevensii
Lineage: Bacteria; Pseudomonadati; Pseudomonadota; Gammaproteobacteria; Oceanospirillales; Halomonadaceae
Description: partial 16S ribosomal RNA
Rfam family: Bacterial small subunit ribosomal RNA
Source: RNAcentral
CCUACGGGCGGCAGCAGUGGGGAAUAUUGGACAAUGGGCGAAAGCCUGAUCCAGUCAUGCCGCGUGUGUGAAGAAGGCCUUCGGGUUGUAAAGCACUUUCAGUGGGGAAGAAAGCCUUGGGGCUAAUACCCUCGAGGAAGGACAUCACCCACAGAAGAAGCACCGGCUAACUCCGUGCCAGCAGCCGCGGUAAUACGGAGGGUGCGAGCGUUAAUCGGAAUUACUGGGCGUAAAGCGCGCGUAGGCGGUCUGAUAAGCCGGUUGUGAAAGCCCCGGGCUCAACCUGGGAACGGCAUCCGGAACUGUCAGGCUAGAGUGCAGGAGAGGAAGGUAGAAUUCCCGGUGUAGCGGUGAAAUGCGUAGAGAUCGGGAGGAAUACCAGUGGCGAAGGCGGCCUUCUGGACUGACACUGACGCUGAGGUGCGAAAGCGUGGGUAGCAAACAGGAUUAGAUACCCUAGUAGUC